AGGAACUUCCUGUCAUUCAGACGGGUUAUAGUUAUUAUGUUUACUGUUAUUUUUAAAGAACGUCUCUCAUUGUCUUCAUUCACUGAGCUGUCAUUCGGGGACUGUUGUCAGUGAGUCUGGGAUCAGCUUACCCUCAGAGGUCAGAGGUCAUCCUUCCUUCAGGGAGCUCCUCAUCCUGACCAUCUCUGGGUCUUCUAUCUUCAGCUCAGUCCAACAGAACAAACUCCACACAGAACCAAGAGGAGGUGCAGCUGGGACCAACCAAGACUGAUUGGAGCAGAGGAAGGGAGACUCUUUCAAAAUAAAACAGGAAGUGAAGCAUGAAGGAGGUUUGAUGACGGGGUUUUCUCUCUGGAGGCGUGGGAGCAGAGCGGUCCGAUCAGAACCAGAACCCUCCGUGAGGUUCUGCUUCCACUGCUGUUUAAGAGAAUCUUCUCUGAAAAGUUUCAUGUUUGUUGAUAUUAAAACUGGAAGCUGAGUUUAAAAGUUUUAUUUUGUAAAAGUCAAUAUCAAUCACGAUCUGCUCAUCAAACAUCAAACCAAAACUGAUUUAAACCCAGAGGAGCUGAUGUCCUCCAGCAGAAGAACGGUCUCUGUGAACGACAGCAGAACUUCACCAGAACCUUCUAUGAAUCCGGACAGUCGGGUCACUCUGAACCAGCUCCUCACAUGUCCCUGCAGCCAGGAGGUCCGCUUCUGUCUGAGCGCAGAAGUUCUGCUGAUGCCAGACCACUGAAGAGGAUUCAUAGAAACAGACGGACUUUGAAGAACUCCACGAACAUCCCUGAGGACCGACAUGGCUGUGGGUUUGGGUCGGUCCAGGAACCAGACAAUCCUCCUCAGAACUCGAUCCAUCACCACCGGUCCUGAUCCUGAAGCAGACCCAAAGUCCGAUUCAGAGAAAAAAGACCAGCAGAACUUCCAAACAGACUGGACCCUGGAGAGUCUCCAGACAGUAAUCAGGGACAGAAAAACACCAAGAAAACAAGACGAGACAUAAAAGAAGAGUUUCAAACAUCAAAGAGAAGAACAAAAAACAUGAAAGACUGGAGUUUUUCUUUGAAGUGUUUCUGUUUUCUUCUUCUGAUGCUGUUUGUCGUCUUUUUCAGACUCUUGAUGUUUGAUUAAAGUUUAAAAACAAA
Molecule: long non-coding RNA, 1142 nt
Organism: Oryzias melastigma (Indian medaka)
Lineage: Eukaryota; Metazoa; Chordata; Actinopteri; Beloniformes; Adrianichthyidae
Exons: 2
Source: RefSeq, a predicted model, not a curated record